CGGCGACGGGUGAGUAACACGUGGGUAAUCUGCCUUAUACAGGGGGAUAACAGUUAGAAAUGACUGCUAAUACCGCAUAAGCGCACGGAAACGCAUGUUUCAGUGUGAAAAACUCCGGCAGUAUAAGAUGAGCCCGCGUCUGAUUAGCUUGUUGGUGGGGUAACGGCCUACCAAGGCGACGAUCAGUAGCCGGCCUGAGAGGGUGAACGGCCACAUUGGGACUGAGACACGGCCCAAACUCCUACGGGAGGCAGCAG
Molecule: ribosomal RNA, 257 nt
Filed under: uncultured bacterium
Lineage: Bacteria
Description: partial 16S ribosomal RNA
Rfam family: Bacterial small subunit ribosomal RNA
Source: RNAcentral